RNAcentral lists this microRNA precursor (92 nucleotides) under Pteropus vampyrus (large flying fox). Lineage: Eukaryota; Metazoa; Chordata; Mammalia; Chiroptera; Pteropodidae. The record is from RNAcentral.
AAUGAGUCUACGGCCAUGCCACCCUGAACAAGCUCGAUCCCAUCUGAUCUCAGAAGCUAAGCAGGGUCGGGCCUGGAUAGUACUUGGAGGGG